GGAGGGUGCAAGCGUUGCUCGGAAUUAUUGGGCGUAAAGCGCGUGUAGGCGGCUAUCUAAGUCUGGUGUGAAAGCCCUGGGCUCAACCCGGGAAGUGCACUGGAUACUGGAUAGCUAGAGGACGAGAGAGGAGAGUGGAAUUCCUGGUGUAGGGGUGAAAUCCGUAGAUAUCAGGAGGAACAUCAGUGGCGAAGGCGGCUCUCUGGCUCGUAUCUGACGCUGAGACGCGAAAGCGUGGGGAGCAAACAGGAUUAGAUACCCUGGUAGUCCACGCCCUAAACGAUGGAUACUAGUUGUCGGGAUUCCUAAUUGUCUCGGUAACGAAGCUAACGCAUUAAGUAUCCCGCCUGGGAAGUACGGUCGCAAGAUUA
RNAcentral lists this ribosomal RNA (371 nucleotides) under uncultured bacterium. Its description in RNAcentral is "bacterial SSU rRNA". It matches the Rfam family "Bacterial small subunit ribosomal RNA", at positions 527 to 896 of the family's 1533-position model. The record is from RNAcentral.